GUCCCUGUAGCGCAAUAGAUAGCGUGUUGGAUUUCUAAUCCAAAGGUAAUGGGUUCGAAUCCAAACUGGGAUG
This 73-nucleotide transfer RNA is filed under the name Trichonephila inaurata madagascariensis. It matches the Rfam family "tRNA". From Rfam's summary of the family: Transfer RNA (tRNA) molecules are approximately 80 nucleotides in length. Their secondary structure includes four short double-helical elements and three loops (D, anti-codon, and T loops). Further hydrogen bonds mediate the characteristic L-shaped molecular structure. tRNAs have two regions of fundamental functional importance: the anti-codon, which is responsible for specific mRNA codon recognition, and the 3' end, to which the tRNAs corresponding amino acid is attached (by aminoacyl-tRNA synthetases). tRNAs cope with the degeneracy of the genetic code in two manners: having more than one tRNA (with a specific anti-codon) for a particular amino acid; and 'wobble' base-pairing, i.e. permitting non-standard base-pairing at the 3rd anti-codon position. Lineage: Eukaryota; Metazoa; Arthropoda; Arachnida; Araneae; Nephilidae. The record is from Rfam by way of RNAcentral.